RNAcentral lists this ribosomal RNA (235 nucleotides) under uncultured bacterium. RNAcentral describes it as "partial 16S ribosomal RNA". It matches the Rfam family "Bacterial small subunit ribosomal RNA", at positions 15 to 244 of the family's 1533-position model. The record is from RNAcentral.
GAUCCUGGCUCAGGACGAACGCUGGCGGCGCGCCUAACACAUGCAAGUCGAACGAGCGAGAGAGAGCUUGCUUUCUCGAGCGAGUGGCGAACGGGUGAGUAACGCGUGAGGAACCUGCCUCAAAGGAGGGGGACAACAGUUGGAAACGACUGCUAAUACCGCAUAAGCCCACGGCUCGGCAUCGAGCAGAGGGAAAAGGAGCAAUCCGCUUUGAGAUGGCCUCGCGUCCGAUUAG